Molecule: ribosomal RNA, 292 nt
Filed under: uncultured Alphaproteobacteria bacterium
Lineage: Bacteria; Pseudomonadati; Pseudomonadota; Alphaproteobacteria
Description: partial 16S ribosomal RNA
Source: RNAcentral
GGACUACAGGGGUAUCUAAUCCUGUUUGAUCCCCACGCUGUCGUGCCUGAGCGUCAGAAACGAGCCAGUGAGCCGCCUUCGCCACCGGUGUUCUUCCCAAUAUCUACGAAUUUCACCUCUACACUGGGAAUUCCACUCACCUCUCUCGUCCUCAAGCUAAACAGUUUCAAUGGCAAUUCCGGAGUUGAGCUCCGGGCUUUCACCACUGACUUGGAUAGCCGCCUGCGCACGCUUUACGCCCAGUAAUUCCGAACAACGCUAGCCCCCUUCGUAUUACCGCGGCGGCUGGCAC